CAUGUUGCAGCUCGAACUGGUGACUUAUCACUUAUAAAAGUGUGCUUCCGAAAUUUGUGUUAAAAUUGUGUUUCCAAAUUGACACUUUUGUUAGUGGGGAGUUUUAACUGGUCUUGACAGGUGGUAACCUGGUGACCGUUUGAUGGCAUUCUAGAGACUUCUAUACCCUUAUAUUCAGUCGGUGACUUUGAUUGCACAGUGUGAAGUGAUAUUUUCUUGGUUUUAGCAGACCGUCUUUUGGCUCUCUCUCUCUCUCUCUCUCUCUCUCUCUCUCUCAUUCUAGGUGAAUUAGGGUUCUUAUUUUGAGUGUUAUACAGUGAUUAAAUGAUGGUGAAGUAUUUGUAAUAUUGUAAACUGUGAGAGAGAGGUGAUGUUCUGUGUUGUUUGUUCGUGAAUCUAAGUGAUUCCACUUAUGAACCGGUACGGGUUUUGGAAGAUCUAAGUGAUCAAGCUUGAUUCCUUGGUGGAAAGUGGUCUAAUUCGUGAUUUUUGUAGAAGAUAAGUCUUCGUGGCUCAGUCUUUGUGAUUUUUCUUGAACAUUUGUGUAAUCUUGUUGCCAAUUUUUGGCUAUAUAGUGCAAUCAAACUAAAUCAAUUUGUAAUGGAUGCUCAAUGGGGAAUUAGGCGUUAGAUGUGGUCGUCGAACCUUUGGGGCUACGGCCAAAAAAAUCUGUGUUAAUUUUUUUAAUUUUUG
RNAcentral lists this long non-coding RNA (693 nucleotides) under Olea europaea subsp. europaea. The record is from RNAcentral. Lineage: Eukaryota; Viridiplantae; Streptophyta; Magnoliopsida; Lamiales; Oleaceae.